This 550-nucleotide ribosomal RNA is filed under the name uncultured bacterium. RNAcentral describes it as "bacterial SSU rRNA". It matches the Rfam family "Bacterial small subunit ribosomal RNA", at positions 355 to 896 of the family's 1533-position model. The record is from RNAcentral.
UAGGGAAUCUUCGGCAAUGGACGGAAGUCUGACCGAGCAACGCCGCGUGAGUGAAGAAGGUUUUCGGAUCGUAAAGCUCUGUUGUAAGAGAAGAACGAGUGUGAGAGUGGAAAGUUCACACUGUGACGGUAUCUUACCUGAAAGGGACGGCUAACUACGUGCCAGCAGCCGCGGUAAUACGUAGGUCCCGAGCGUUGUCCGGAUUUAUUGGGCGUAAAGCGAGCGCAGGCGGUUAGAUAAGUCUGAAGUUAAAGGCUGUGGCUUAACCAUAGUAGGCUUUGGAAACUGUUUAACUUGAGUGCAAGAGGGGAGAGUGGAAUUCCAUGUGUAGCGGUGAAAUGCGUAGAUAUAUGGAGGAACACCGGCGGCGAAAGCGGCUCUCUGGCUUGUAACUGACGCUGAGGCUCGAAAGCGUGGGGAGCAAACAGGAUUAGAUACCCUGGUAGUCCACGCUGUAAACGAUGAGUGCUAGGUGUUAGACCCUUUCCGGGGUUUAGUGCCGUAGCUAACGCAUUAAGCACUCCGCCUGGGGAGUACGACCGCAAGGUUG